CUGCACUAGUUGUUCCCAGGUGGUCACCCUCUCAAGUACUGACCGCGCCCAAUGCUGCUCAACUGCGGUGAUCAGACGAGAAUUGGUGCUUUCAGUAUGAUAUAUCCG
This is a non-coding RNA of Araneus ventricosus, 108 nucleotides long. The record is from the annotation of a GenBank genome assembly. Lineage: Eukaryota; Metazoa; Arthropoda; Arachnida; Araneae; Araneidae.